Molecule: non-coding RNA, 29 nt
Filed under: Mus musculus (house mouse)
Lineage: Eukaryota; Metazoa; Chordata; Mammalia; Rodentia; Muridae
Source: RNAcentral
UAUUUCAAAGCCUGUUCUUAAGAUAUGUG